Long non-coding RNA from Actinia tenebrosa (Australian red waratah sea anemone), 676 nucleotides. RefSeq lists it as uncharacterized. Lineage: Eukaryota; Metazoa; Cnidaria; Anthozoa; Actiniaria; Actiniidae. The record is from RefSeq and is a predicted model, not a curated record.
UUCGCCUAUAAAUUGCUGCAACGGUUUCUCUUUCUUUCUCAUUGAUCCUUGUUGUUGGAAUAGAAGAAAACUCGCGCACGAGAGAUACCAACCUUGAAUCUUCGUAACUUUGUAAAAGCGUUCGCGUUCGCCACCUUGAGGGAUAAAUACCAAACCAGAGAGCCAGCACAAGUCACCUCACAACACUCCAGCGAAUCUACAAGACCACAGCUCGAUCUUGGACCAGUUUUUAACCCUAAAAAAACAUGAAUUCAAAGGCAUUGAUUAUUUUGGUUGUUGUCCUGAUGGCAGUAGCGAUGGUACCUCAGACAAACGCCUUUACAGCCGGAGGAGGCGGGAACGUCCCCUCGGGAAAGCGAGAAUAUAUGACGCUAAAAAGAGCAGUGAGUAGCCUGUGUGCAGUCGCUCGUGAACACUGUAAACGAGAAGCUUUCGAUAGCAAAGACCUGGAAUAAAUAAUGAAGAAAUAUCAAGAAAAUAAUGAAGAAACAAAUCCAAGAAUCGCAGAGUGUUUCCGUGCCAUGCAAUGUUUAUGAUAACAAACUACUACAAGCUUUCGUCCCUCGAUCCCCAAUUGAACUAAAACCCCAGAAAUACAAUUAGUUAAUUCUAUGAAGUUUAUUGCGCUUCUACGUUGUACGUAAAUUGGUAAUAAAUUGAUUUAUAAACGACCAAA